UGUGUGUUUGCAGAAGGUUCUUCAUUCAGAGGAGAUGGAGGAGGGAUUGGAACUCACAGAUGUGCCGCGGUGUGUGUCAUCGACUCUAGAGUGUGUUGAGAUACAAGAACAACUUGAAUUGGAGGAAGGGAAGAUGAAAGCAACAAGUUACUUUCUUGGAAACUCAGCAAUACUCAAGAAACUCAUCCUGAGCCCCACAGCUUAUGAUCCUCGAUAUGUUGUGGAAUCAGAAAUAGUCGACAAGGUUAAUAAACUCACAAAACGUUCUACAGGAUGUGAAAUUAUCAUUCGAGCCAUGGAGGAGGUCGUUAUCAUUUGAUGAGUCUUCUUCUUAGUUCUGGUUGGAUUCAUUUUGACCAUUGGUGCUGAUACAAGUUCUUCAUAUUCAGUAAUGACUCUGCAUGCAAUCCUCUUUUCCUUUUUUUUUCAAAAGUCCUAACCUCAGUUUGUUGGAUGUCUUUUUUUUCUCAUAAAUUUCAGUUUGGUUACUCUUGGUUUUAUAUGUUUUACGGCUAUAAAAAUAUCCAAAAAAUUAGGUAUUAUACAGCUCAUUUAAAAAUAACUAGAUUUAUUUAAUAUAUAUUUUAACAUCUAUUUAACUAUGUUAUUACAAUGAUGAGACAUAGACGAUAUGAUAUAUCUGGUUUGAGUUUAAAAAUGUUGAUUUAAAUACAAAAAUAUUUUAAAUAAAUGUUUUUUUUAAAUUAACAAAAUAUUUGUAACGUUGUUAAUGAAUUUUUUUAUUAUAAUAUAUUUAAUAUUCUGCGCACAAAUCAAAAUUUAGUUAUAUAUAUAUAUAUAUAUAUUAAAUUUAAUUAAAUAAUUGAUCCACAGUUCAUUCGCAGUUAAUCCAAUAGUCUGGUCUAGUGUCAUGUUGAUUUUAAAAUAUUGAUUUAAAUAUUUUUACUUUUUAUAUUUUUUUGAUAAUAUACAUUUUAUUCAACUUUGCCAAAAUGUUAUAUGAUUUUUGAUGUUUUAAUGUAAGCAUUUUUUUUUUGAGAAUUAUUAUUUUUUGGUAAAAUAUCUCUUCAAAUCAAAAAGUUCAUUCAGCUUUUGAUUUGAAUCAUGUGGUCCACAUUUGCAUAGACAAAAAUAUUACUAAAUAAUAAAUAUGAGAAAAAUCAGAUGUAUUUACUUGUUAGGCGAAAUUGAUUUGAUUCAAUAAUGUUUUCUAAAUAUAACUUAACGAAUUUCUAAAUGAGGUAAAAAUGCAGUGACAUUUUCUAUAAUCAUGAAUAUAAAUGUUUGAUAGAUAUUGCCUUUUUUAAAUCUUAUAAUAAUAUAUGCGCUAUAAAGUUUUAUUUUACGAACACUCAAUGUCUAGAUUUACGAAUCUAACAAUUACUUUAUAAAUUUCAACAUUAAUAAUGAUGAUAUAUAAUAUUACCAUAAAAAGGAUAGUUUUAAGGUUGCUAUAUAGAUUUAAGAUUAGUGUAUAGUCGAAUUAAUUAUAUAUAUAGUAUAUCUUCUUUUAAAUUCUUACGUAGAAUUAAGUUGGUUACAACACAAUAUUUCCUCUCUGAUGUAACUAAAAGACUGAAACUUCUUCAUGUUCAAAAGCUUCAUGUUUGUUUGCUACUCUGCAUAUUUCGUCUUCCUCUCCACUCCAACAAGCUUACGUGCGUCUCUCCCAUCCCACCUGCUCCCAACUCGUCGCCUUUCCUCUUCGCUCUCCAAAGAGGUUUCGCAUCUCUCUCCUCCCGCUUCUUUCCCUUCUUACACUUCUCCUUAAACUGUAUCCACAGACAUCUGCAAAAUUUGUUCUUUUUAAACUGUAACCGCUUCAAACGUAUAAAUACUAAACGAUAUCGAAAGUUCCAUGAAUUACAGUCGUUUCCCAUGAAUUUUACAAUGACAUUUAACAUGAAGAUUUAACCAAUAAAAGAAAUAUUUUUUUGUCAAAAAAAUAAAAGAAAUAUUUAUAAUAUAUUCGACAAUAAAGAUUAAAGACAGCCUUCAAUUUCAUUUUUGAAACGCUCUCAUGGAACCGGAACCGCUUCAACCGUAUAAAUUCUGAAUAAUCAGUUCCGUUUUCAGACAAAAAGUUGUCACUUUUCUCUCUCUCUCUCUCUCGCUUUCGAUCACUCCCGCCGAUACAAUCCUCCGGCGGCUCAAAACCAAUCCACGGUGAGUUCUUCAGAAACCCAAUCCAUCGAAUCUUUCGUUUCAUUUGUAGUCUAAAGUUUUGUGAUUUAUUAGAGAAACUCUUUCAAUCAAAGAUUCCUUUUUUAUGCUGUUUGUUGUUUGUUGAUGCUCUUAGGGUUUCGUUUCGUGAUGUCUGGGAUGGAUCGGAUCAGCGAGUUGCCGGAAUGUUUGUUAACUCAAAUACUCUCAUACCUUCCGACAAAUCAAUCGGUGCAGACAAGUGUUUUGUCCAAGAGAUGGGAGAAUCUGUAUUUAAGCGUUCCCGGUCUUGACUUAAAUUGCUCUGUUCUUCCUAAUUAUGAUGCUGAUGAAGUGAUCUUAAGCUUCUUAAGCUUCAUUGACAAGCUUCUCGAGUUUAGCCCUGAGUCAGUUCUGUUUAAAGUCAAGGUUCAGUGCAGAGACACAAUGAUAGAUGGGUUCAGGGAUCGGAUCGGUAUGAUGAUUGACCGGGGGACACAGCAUCUUGAUGUUGUGAGCAGUACCCAUUGUUUAGAGGACGACAAUUUUCACUAUCCUAUUGUUGAUAUGAUGCCUAUGAAUCUCUACACGAGCAAGACAUUGGUUUACUUAAAGCUCUCCUCUUCUGGACUUAUGGAUCCUGGUUUUGUUUCCAUGCCUUGUCUUAAAUUCAUGCAUCUUGAAGAAGUCAAAUGGCGUGUGCAUCUGGAGAAGCUUCUCUCAGGGUGUCCUGUUCUUGAGGAGCUGACAUUGUCGAGGGAUAUGGAUGAUGAUUAUGCAAUUGGGAAUGAAGAGUUUAUGGUUAUGCGUGUGAGGUCUCAGAGCUUGAAGAGGUUUAGUGUGCUGCCGCUUAGGCAGGCAAGGGAUUACCAUUCCAGAGUGGAAUGCACACUUGAGAUUGAUGCUCCUGGUCUUGAGCAUAUGAGUCUCGGAGAUGAUCAGUUUGAUAGGAUUGUGGUAAAGAACCUGCCUUCUUUGUUGGUGGUUGAGCUUGAUAUCAAGUUCUUUGUCAAGGUUGGCGUGCUUUUUAAUACUUGGGACGUAUCAAAGAGCAAUGAGAUCCGUGAUUUUCUCAAUGGGAUAUCGAGUGUUGGACAUAUGAUCAUCUCUGGGAUGACAGUGCAUGCCUUUGAACAUUACUCAAAAGCAGGAAUCAUCCCCAAGUUCAACAACUUGUCCCGUUUACAAGCAGUGUUCCAUGGCAAGUUAUUGCAGUUUCUGCCAGCCUUUCUUGAGUGUUGCCCCAAUCUGAAGCACCUAAUCUUGGUAAAAACAUUACUGUUGUCCUUAUGUUUUUUUUUUAUGGAUGUGUGUUUUUAAAAACCCAGCUUUUUUUUUUGUGUUGUUUACAGAAGGUUCUUUAUCCAGAGGAGAUGGAUGAGGGAUUGGAACUCACAGAUGUUCCACGGUGUGUCUCAACGACUCUUGAGUGUGUUGAGAUUCAAGAAAAAUUACAGUGGGAGGAAGGGAAGAUGAAAGCAACAAGUUACUUUCUUGGAAACUCAGCAGUACUGAAGAAACUCAUUCUGAGCCCCACAGCUUAUGAUCCUCGAGAUGUUCUGGAAUCAGAAAUAUGGGAGAAGGUUAAUAAACUCACAAAACGUUCUACAGG
This 3715-nucleotide long non-coding RNA is filed under the name Brassica rapa (field mustard). Its description in RNAcentral is "long non-coding RNA (BRAP_LNC007406)". The record is from RNAcentral. Lineage: Eukaryota; Viridiplantae; Streptophyta; Magnoliopsida; Brassicales; Brassicaceae.